CCUACGGGUGACUGCAGUGAGGAAUAUUGGUCAAUGGGCGUAAGCCUGAACCAGCCAAGUCGCGUGAAGGAAGAAGGACCUAUGGUUUGUAAACUUCUUUUAUAAGGGAAUAAAGGUAGCCACGUGUGCCUAUUUGCAUGUACCUUAUGAAAAAGCAUCGGCUAACUCCGUGCCAGCAGCCGCGGUAAUACGGAGGAUGCGAGCGUUAUCCGGAUUUAUUGGGUUUAAAGGGUGCGCAGGGGGUCUGUUAAGUCAGCGGUAAAAGCCCGGGGCUCAACCUAAGCCCGCCGUUGAAACUGGCAGCCUUGAGUUGGAGAGAAGUAGGCGGAAUGCGCGGUGUAGCGGUGAAAUGCAUAGAUAUCGCGCAGAACUCCGAUUGCGAAGGCAGCAUACCGGCUCCACACUGACGCUGAGGCACGAAAGCGUGGGUAUCGAACAGGAUUAGAUACCCUUGUAGUC
Molecule: ribosomal RNA, 459 nt
Filed under: uncultured bacterium
Lineage: Bacteria
Description: partial 16S ribosomal RNA
Rfam family: Bacterial small subunit ribosomal RNA
Source: RNAcentral